UACACGUGAACCUUUAAUAUUUACAACCUGAUUCCAAGGCCGUCCCCAUACCCCGUCCGAUAUGGGCACCAAAACCAUGAACCUCAAUACCCCGUUCGGUAUGAGGGUGAAAUGGGCCGUCCCCAUACCCCGUCCGGUAUGGGCACCAAAACACAUAAGGUCUCCAUACCCCGUCCGGUAUGAGAGACCACGCUCCCGGUAGGGUUCUCUACGGACCUGGUCCAUCCACCAUCUCCUAGGAUAUCUAGUCAGGCUGUCUACAUUAUCCAU
RNAcentral lists this long non-coding RNA (270 nucleotides) under Carica papaya (papaya). Its description in RNAcentral is "long non-coding RNA (CPAP_LNC002311)". Lineage: Eukaryota; Viridiplantae; Streptophyta; Magnoliopsida; Brassicales; Caricaceae. The record is from RNAcentral.